This 549-nucleotide ribosomal RNA is filed under the name uncultured bacterium. Its description in RNAcentral is "bacterial SSU rRNA". It matches the Rfam family "Bacterial small subunit ribosomal RNA", at positions 355 to 896 of the family's 1533-position model. The record is from RNAcentral.
UGGGGAAUUUUGGACAAUGGGCGCAAGCCUGAUCCAGCCAUGCCGCGUGUCUGAAGAAGGCCUUCGGGUUGUAAAGGACUUUUGUCAGGGAAGAAAAGGAUAGGGUUAAUACCCCUGUCUGAUGACGGUACCUGAAGAAUAAGCACCGGCUAACUACGUGCCAGCAGCCGCGGUAAUACGUAGGGUGCGAGCGUUAAUCGGAAUUACUGGGCGUAAAGCGGGCGCAGACGGUUACUCAAGCAGGAUGUGAAAUCCCCGGGCUCAACCUGGGAACUGCGUUCUGAACUGGGUGACUAGAGUGUGUCAGAGGGAGGUAGAAUUCCACGUGUAGCAGUGAAAUGCGUAGAGAUGUGGAGGAAUACCGAUGGCGAAGGCAGCCUCCUGGGAUAACACUGACGUUCAUGCUCGAAAGCGUGGGUAGCAAACAGGAUUAGAUACCCUGGUAGUCCACGCCCUAAACGAUGUCAAUUAGCUGUUGGGCAACUUGAUUGCUUAGUAGCGUAGCUAACGCGUGAAAUUGACCGCCUGGGGAGUACGGUCGCAAGAUUA